GUGGGGAAUAUUGGACAAUGGGCGAAAGCCUGAUCCAGCAAUGCCGCGUGAGUGAUGAAGGCCCUAGGGUUGUAAAGCUCUUUUACCCGGGAUGAUAAUGACAGUACCGGGAGAAUAAGCUCCGGCUAACUUCGUGCCAGCAGCCGCGGUAAUACGAGGGGAGCUAGCGUUGUUCGGAAUUACUGGGCGUAAAGCGCGCGUAGGCGGUUUUUUAAGUCAGAGGUGAAAGCCCGGGGCUCAACCCCGGAAUUGCCUUUGAAACUGGAAAACUAGAAUCUUGGAGAGGUCAGUGGAAUUCCGAGUGUAGAGGUGAAAUUCGUAGAUAUUCGGAAGAACACCAGUGGCGAAGGCGACUGACUGGACAAGUAUUGACGCUGAGGUGCGAAAGCGUGGGGAGCAAACAGGAUUAGAAACCCCUGUAGUCC
Molecule: ribosomal RNA, 425 nt
Filed under: uncultured bacterium
Lineage: Bacteria
Description: bacterial SSU rRNA
Rfam family: Bacterial small subunit ribosomal RNA
Source: RNAcentral